This 429-nucleotide ribosomal RNA is filed under the name Acidobacteriota bacterium. RNAcentral describes it as "Acidobacteria bacterium partial 16S ribosomal RNA". It matches the Rfam family "Bacterial small subunit ribosomal RNA", at positions 355 to 776 of the family's 1533-position model. The record is from RNAcentral. Lineage: Bacteria; Pseudomonadati; Acidobacteriota.
UGGGGAAUUUUGGACAAUGGGGGAAACCCUGAUCCAGCCAUCCCGCGUGUGCGAUGAAGGCCUUCGGGUUGUAAAGCACUUUUGGCAGGAAAGAAACGUCCUGGGUUAAUACCCCGUGAAACUGACGGUACUUGCAGAAUAAGCACCGGCUAACUACGUGCCAGCAGCCGCGGUAAUCCGUAGGGUGCAAGUGUUAAUCGGAAUUACUGGGCGUAAAGCGUGCGCAGGCGGUUCGGAAAGUAAGAUGUGAAAUCCCAGAGCUCAACUUUGGAACUGCAUUUUUAACUACCGGGCUAGAGUGUGUCAGAGGGAGUUGGAAUUCCGCGUGUAGCAGUGAAAUGCGUAGAUAUGCGGAGGAACACCGAUGGCGAAGGCAGCCUCCUGGAAUAACACUGACGCUCAUGCACGAAAGCGUGGGGAGCAAACAGG